GUACAGCAUACAAAAAGGUCUAAUAAAAUUGUGUGGGGACAACAUCAAUUCAAGAUAACAGCGGACAUAGAAGCUGGGGAGUAUACAUGCGAGUGCAAACAGUGGGAACAUACAGGUCUAUUGUGUGUUCAUCUUUUAAGAGCCUUCAUGCAUCUUCAAGUUGAAAAGAUACCUUCAAAAUAUAUAUUGCAAAGGAAGAAGAGUUGAAUAAAAAUAAUGCUGGCGAUGGGAUGGAAGAUGACAAUACAAUUACAUGCCAUAACAAGG
Molecule: long non-coding RNA, 267 nt
Organism: Zea mays
Lineage: Eukaryota; Viridiplantae; Streptophyta; Magnoliopsida; Poales; Poaceae
Exons: 3
Source: RefSeq, a predicted model, not a curated record